UACGUAGGGGGCAAGCGUUGUCCGGAUUUAUUGGGCGUAAAGAGCGUGUAGGCGGUUUGGUAGGUCCGCUGUGAAAACUCGAGGCUCAACCUCGAGACGCCGGUGGAAACCAUCAGACUAGAGUCCGGAAGAGGAGAGUGGAAUUCCUGGUGUAGCGGUGAAAUGCGCAGAUAUCAGGAGGAACACCGGUGGCGAAGGCGGGUCUCUGGGCAUUAACUGACGCUGAGGAGCGAAAGCAUGGGGAGCGAACAGG
This 253-nucleotide ribosomal RNA is filed under the name uncultured bacterium. RNAcentral's name for it is "partial 16S ribosomal RNA". It matches the Rfam family "Bacterial small subunit ribosomal RNA", at positions 524 to 776 of the family's 1533-position model. The record is from RNAcentral.